GCCGGGUGUGGUGGCUCACGCCUGUAAUCCCAGCACUUUGGGAGGCCGAGAUGGGUGGAUCACUUGAGGUCAGGAGUUUGAGACCAGCCUGGCCAACAUGGUGAAACCCCGUCUCUA
Molecule: unclassified non-coding RNA, 117 nt
Organism: Pongo abelii (Sumatran orangutan)
Lineage: Eukaryota; Metazoa; Chordata; Mammalia; Primates; Hominidae
Rfam family: Metazoan signal recognition particle RNA
About the family: The signal recognition particle (SRP) is a universally conserved ribonucleoprotein. It is involved in the co-translational targeting of proteins to membranes.
Source: Ensembl